GUAGGGAAUAUUGCGCAAUGGACGAAAGUCUGACGCAGCGACGCCGCGUGAGUGAUGAAGGCCUUAGGGUCGUAAAGCUCUGUUGAAUGGGAAGAAAAAAAUGACGGUACCAUUCGAGGAAGGACCGGCUAACUUCGUGCCAGCAGCCGCGGUAAUACGAGGGGUCCUAGCGUUGUUCGGAAUCAUUGGGCGUAAAGGGUGUGUAGGUGGCCAUGUAAGUCAGGUGUGAAAGCCCCGGGCUCAACCCGGGAAGUGCACUUGAUACUGCGUGGCUUAAGUACCGAAGAGGGUAGUGGAAUUCCAGGUGUAGUGGUGAAAUACGUAGAUAUCUGGAGGAACACCGGUGGCGAAGGCGGCUACCUGGUCGAGUACUGACACUGAGACACGAAAGCAUGGGGAUCAAACAGGAUUAGAAACCCCGGUAGUCC
RNAcentral lists this ribosomal RNA (428 nucleotides) under uncultured bacterium. Its description in RNAcentral is "partial 16S ribosomal RNA". It matches the Rfam family "Bacterial small subunit ribosomal RNA", at positions 354 to 796 of the family's 1533-position model. The record is from RNAcentral.